GUGGAGUCACACCCAAUAUACAUGGACUAGAUGUUGGAAUUUGGAUGCAAUGGUGGAGAUGGAAUAGUUAGAAAGGUUUGGUGAUGCCAUAGUAAAAUAUAGACUAUUCAUUGGGUCAUGAAUCAUAUAUGACUCAAGAAAAAUUUGAAGUAGUUCCUUUAUUAGCUUGCCAUUGUUUAUAUAUCAUGUAGCUUUUAACUAUAUUACAACAAUAUCGUCACCCCCAUAGCAAGAACAGGACUUUAGCACAACUCAACUAUAAUCUCUAAGCAUGACAGACAAAGUGGGGCGAAGAUCAUGAAGAGGCAAUUUUGUCCCUCAUACCAACCAAAGGA
RNAcentral lists this long non-coding RNA (335 nucleotides) under Eucalyptus grandis. RNAcentral's name for it is "long non-coding RNA (EGRA_LNC007609)". Lineage: Eukaryota; Viridiplantae; Streptophyta; Magnoliopsida; Myrtales; Myrtaceae. The record is from RNAcentral.